This 229-nucleotide ribosomal RNA is filed under the name uncultured bacterium. Its description in RNAcentral is "partial 16S ribosomal RNA". It matches the Rfam family "Bacterial small subunit ribosomal RNA", at positions 568 to 796 of the family's 1533-position model. The record is from RNAcentral.
UGCGUAGGCGGAUUAAUAAGUCAGUGGUGAAAUCUCUCGGCUCAACCGGGAAACUGCCAUUGAUACUGUUAAUCUUGAGUUCGGUGGAGGUAGGCGGAAUGUGUAAUGUAGCGGUGAAAUGCUUAGAUAUUACACAGAACACCAAUUGCGUAGGCAGCUUACUAGACCGACACUGACGCUGAGGCACGAAAGCGUGGGUAGCGAACAGGAUUAGAUACCCUGGUAGUCC